UUUCCAAAUAUGCAUCAAUGCAAUUUCUGGGCUAUUAUGGAUAACUCUUGGUUUCUUACCUUUAUUGUAGGCUGUAUUGUUGGUUAUUUGAUAGGCAAAAACCAUUAGAACAGACUCAAAACUCGCUUACUUUUUACAAGUUUCACAUCAACUGAUAUCUUUUGGCAAAAAUGGAUGUAGAUUGGGUAAUCACAUUUCUAGUUGGAUGUUUGGUGGGAUACAUGGUGGCCAGGAAUACCUAGAGGAAAAUCAAUGAAUAAAGGUCGACCAAGUACACCUGGAAAUUUAAGUUCUAGCAUAUUAUUGCCAGCCUGAACUACAAAAUUUCGACUGGAUUCCAGUAUUCGAGAAAUCAAGAGGACCAAGAAGAAUAAAUUAUUUCCGUAUUUCCCGAAACCAAAUUGAAGAAGCAACAUGACCCACAUCAUCUCCUUUGCCUUGGGCGUGAUCAUUGGAAUGAUGACCUGCCGGAGGUGCUAACUCAUCCCAUCUCUUACACUAAUAAUAUUCAAAGCUUAUCAAGAAAAAUGCAUGAAUAAACUUUAGCA
This is a long non-coding RNA of Drosophila rhopaloa, 548 nucleotides long. RefSeq lists it as uncharacterized. The record is from RefSeq and is a predicted model, not a curated record. The transcript has 2 exons. NCBI's taxonomy places the organism in Eukaryota, Metazoa, Arthropoda, Insecta, Diptera, Drosophilidae.